This 3427-nucleotide ribosomal RNA is filed under the name invertebrate metagenome. RNAcentral's name for it is "bacterial LSU rRNA". It matches the Rfam family "Bacterial large subunit ribosomal RNA". The record is from RNAcentral.
CGGGUAGUUGGUGGAUGCCUUGGCGCUAGGAGCCGAUGAAGGACGUGAUGGUCUGCGAAAAGCCUCGGGGAGUCGACGAAUAGGCGUUGAUCCGGGGAUGUCCGAAUUGGGAAACCAGACUGGGGUCAUGCCCAGUCAUUCCGGUCUGAAUAUAUAGGGCCGGUAAAGGAAACCGAGGGAAUUGAAACAUCUCAGUACCUCGAGGAAUAGAAAACAACAGUGAUUCCCUGAGUAGCGGCGAGCGAAACGGGAAGAGCCCAAACCAGUGCGGUGUCAAAGGUCGACGCCGUUGCCGUGCUGGGGUUGUGGGACUCACUUGACGGAACGUCGAUACCGUCACAGAGUUACAAAACCGUCAGAUAACCGAAUUCCACUGGGAAGUGGAGCCACAGGAGGUAACAGCCCCGUAGGUUAAAUCUAGGCGGACUCUGAGUGAUGUUCCCAAGUAGCACGGGGCACGUGAAAUCCCGUGUGAAUCUGCCAGGACCACCUGGUAAGGCUAAAUACUACCUAGCGACCGAUAGCGGAUAGUACCGUGAGGGAACGGUGAAAAGUACCCCGGUGAGGGGAGUGAAACAGUACCUGAAACCAACUACUUACAAGCAGUAGGAGGGAUUCUUCGGAAUCCUGACUGCCUGCCUUUUGAAGAAUGAGCCUACGAGUUAUCGAUGUGUGGCAAGGUUAAGCCGAGAGGUGUAGCCGCAGCGAAAGCAAGUCUUAAUAGGGCGUCUAGUCGCAUGUCAUAGACCCGAAGCCGAGUGAUCUAUCCAUGGACAGGGUGAAGCGAGGGUAAGACCUCGUGGAGGCCCGAACCCACCUAGGUUGAAAACUGGGGGGAUGAUCUGUGGAUAGGGGUGAAAGGCCAAUCAAACUCGGCGAUAGCUGGUUCUCCUCGAAAUAGCUUUAGGGCUAGCGUUGUAUGUUCCGUAUUGGGGGUAGAGCACUGAUUGGGUAAGGGGGCCAACAAGCUUACCAACCCCAGUCAAACUCCGAAUCCCAAUACGCCAAGUACAGCAGUCAGACCAUGUGGGAUAAGCUUCAUGGUCGAAAGGGAAACAGCCCAGACCGCCAGUUAAGGUCCCAAAAUUAUGACUAAGUGGGGAACGAUGUAGGGUUGCCCAAACAGCCAGGAGGUUGGCUUAGAAGCAGCCAUCCUUUAAAGAGUGCGUAACAGCUCACUGGUCGAGUGAUCCCGCGCGGAUGAUGUAACGGGGCUCAAGUCAUAUACCGAAACUGCGGAUUCACGUCUAUAACGCAGGCCACUAUGGUUUCCAUAGGGGUCCAGCGGGCGUGAGUGGUAGAGGAGCGUCGAAUGUCCAAUGAAGCGGCGGCGUAAGCCAGUCGUGGAGGGCAUUCGAGUGAGAAUGUAGGCAUGAGUAGCGAAUGAAGAGUGAGAAUCUCUUCCGCCGAAUGUUCAAGGGUUCCUGGGGAAGGCUCGUCCGCCCAGGGUUAGUCUGGACCUAAGGUGAGGCCGAAAGGCGUAAUCGAUGGAUAACAGGUUGAUAUUCCUGUACUGCUCAAGAAUCGUUCAGACCGAACCUUGCUUGCUAAGGAAAGCCCUUCGGGGCCUACCGACCCAGCAGGUAUUAGGUCAGCAAUGGAGUGACACGGAAGGGUAAGUGGACCCGGGCGAUGGUAGACCCGGGGUAAGUGUGUAGAUCGAGAUCUAGGCAAAUCCGGAUCUCAUCAAGAUCGAGGCACGAUGCCGAGCCGCUACAGGCGAAGCCACCAACCCCAUGCCGUCAAGAAAAGCUUCUAGCGAGAUUCUUGGGCACCAGUACCCCAAACCAACACAGGUGAACAAGUAGAGAAUACUAAGGCGAGCGAGAAAACUCUGGUUAAGGAAUUCGGCAAAAUGGCUCCGUAACUUCGGGAGAAGGAGCGCCCCGGUAAGGUGUAGGACUUCGCGUCCGAAGCCUGAGGGGGUUGCAGAGACCAGGCCCAAGCGACUGUUUACUAAAAACACAGGAGGGUGCUAAGUCGUAAGACGACGUAUACCCUCUGACGCCUGCCCGGUGCUGGAAGGUCAAGUGGAUCGGUUAGCUCUUCGGAGCGAAGCUGUGAAAUCAAGCCCCAGUAAACGGCGGCGGUAACUAUAACCGUUGAUCAGUAUCCAAAAAGGCGGUUACAAAACUUGGCUAUAUGCUGGAACAUCCGAGUAUCCAACGGUACUAAUCCGUAAUUGCAGACGUGUAUACGUCUAUGAGAAUGGGAAGUGAAAAUCCGUUUGGUGCGGACAAUCAGCAGGAAACCAAAGCGAGGAGACAAUCACUCCAUGCAUCCGACGACACUCACGUUGUUGGAACUGCAUAAGUGGAGUGUGUGUAGCCUCGACAGGACGCUUCAGCGUUCUGCAGAAUCGAUUCGAUUCUGUGCAGGGAUCCUCAGAGACUAUACGCCAAGCCCCUCAGUGAGAAAAGAGGGUGAUGAUAUAGUCCGAUCCUCAUGGCGACAUGGGGAGUCAGGCAGAAAUGACCUGGCCACGUUCUAUGCGGUCCGUCCACGCACCGACAUAUAGAACGAAGUAACAACAAUGCCUAAGGUAGCGAAAUUCCUUGUCGGGUAAGUUCCGACCUGCACGAAUGGCGUAACGACUCGGGCACUGUCUCAACCAGAGACUCGGCGAAAUUGCAAUGUGAGUAAAGAUGCUCACUUCCCGCAACAGGACGGAAAGACCCCGGGACCUUUACUGCAGCUUGACAUUGAAGCAUUUUAUGUGAUGUGUAGGAUAGGUGGGAGUCUGUGAAGCAGCCGCGCUAGCGGUUGUGGAGACACACUUGAAAUACCACCCUUCCCAUGACAUGCUUCUAACCUCGGUCCAUUAUCUGGAUCAGGAACAGUGUCUGGUGGGCAGUUUCACUGGGGUGGUGGCCUCCUAAAAUGUAACGGAGGCGCCCAAAGGUUCCCUCAGCCAGGUCGGCAAUCUGGCGUUGAGUGCAAAAGCACAAGGGAGCUUGACUGCGAGACCUACAAGUCGAGCAGGUACGAAAGUAGGGUUUAGUGAUCCCUCGGCGGCACGUGGGUGCGCCGAGGCCAACGGCUAAAAGGUACCCCGGGGAUAACAGGCUCAUACCGCCCAAGAGUCCAUAUCGACGGCGGUGUUUGGCACCUCGAUGUCGGCUCGUCUCAUCCUGGGGCUGAAGCAGGUCCCAAGGGUCGGGCUGUUCGCCCGUUAAAGAGGCACGCGAGCUGGGUUUAGAACGUCGUGAGACAGUUCGGUCCCUAUCCGUUGUGGGCGCAGGAGAUUUGAGGAGAGUUGUCCCUAGUACGAGAGGACCGGGAUGAACGUACCUCUGGUGUGCCAGUUGUCCUGCCAAGGGCACGGCUGGUUUGCUACGUACGGAACGGAUAAGCGCUGAAAGCAUCUAAGCGCGAAGCCGGCUCCAAGAUGAGAUCUCCCACUGUAUUAACAGGUAAGACCCCUUGU